RNAcentral lists this long non-coding RNA (7246 nucleotides) under Lactuca sativa (garden lettuce). RNAcentral's name for it is "long non-coding RNA (LSAT_LNC000893)". The record is from RNAcentral. Lineage: Eukaryota; Viridiplantae; Streptophyta; Magnoliopsida; Asterales; Asteraceae.
AAACCCUAAUGUUUGGAUCUAGGUUUCUCUAUUGUACAUACUUUGAAUCCAAGACUAUAAACCCUAAUUCUAGCAUAUGGAAAUCAAUAUUAACAUAUAAAUGGGUUUAAGAACAUACCUUGGUUGUUAUAUAGCAAUAACAAUCCUAAUCCUCCUUGAAUUGACUUUGGAAGGCUUAGAGUCACAAGUGUCACUCCUCUAAUGUCUUACAAACACCAUAAGCAAGUGGAGAAGGUAUAAAGAGAGAGGAGAGAGGUAGGAAUUCGUCCUUAGAUGCUCUAGGGAUCAAGUGCACGAAUUCUAAGGCCUUAGGGGUCUUUAUAUAGGGUUGGGAUUAGGGUUUCAGUCCUUAUCCUUAUCUAGUUACUUGCCCAUCAAGCAACCAUAAGAUAAGUCUUAGAAAAACCCUUAUCUCUUGGCCUUUGACGAUUUUAAGGAUAUCUUAUCCUUGAAUUCAUCCAUCCAUUAUCAAGGAUAACCAUUGCCCUAUUUUGCAACUAUGAUAUAAUUAGAAUUCAACCCCUCUAGUUUAAUUAAUUACAUUUGAUCACAAAAUUAAUUCUUAAUUAAUUAUUGACCAAUAUUAAUUAAACAAAUAUGAUUUCUCCUUUAAUAUAUUAUUCUUAUAACAUAUUAAUAAAUCAUAAUAACCUCUCUCUCUAUUUAUUUCUCCAAUCAAGUUGCUUUGGUGAAGGCAACCCAAAAGGACCAUGCACCAUCGGGUCAAGUACAUACCAAAAUAGUUAUGGACUUAGACACUAAUCCAACAGUCUCCCACUUGGAUAAGUCUAAUAACUAUUCUGCGUAUGACUUCAGAUCCCGAUCUGCAAUCGUAGCUUUCCAAAGCCGCUGUCAACUCUGAUCAUAUCAGAUACGCGUGUCCUUAGAUAAGGGAUCAUAUAUUCCUCCAUUCUAGAUAUCAUAUGAGAUAUGAUUUCAAAUCAUUCUCUUUGUACUAUAUCUCGAUUUCCGAUUUAUGACGACUGACUAAUUGAACAAAUCAAAUUAGCCCUAGCCCGGCCGAGCAUUUACGUUUGUCAUCACUAAACCAUCGAGGGGCCCAAAGAUAUCGCUUUUAUCCUACUUUGAAUAAAAGGAACGGAUAAACUUUGAUACAAUGCUCGCUUGCACUUACGCACCGAAUCACACACAACAAUAUGUUUUAUAACACCAAGUUACUAGUGCGUUUACAUAUUAUCAAUGUGCAACCGAUUCGCAAGAUACAACUCACACAUCUCGGUUUCAAGAAUAUAAGAUGUUAUCGUCUCACCAAUCACUCGUGAUACAAUCCAUGGAGUGAUCCAAGUGAGCGUGGGUUUAAUCCAAUGCUCAAAUCACAUUCAUAAGCACUCAUGAACGUUGCAGCAAACAUUUGCUUAUGUCUAAUACUCUUUUAGACAAUCCACACACCAAUUCACGACAGUCUUCAUUCAUAUCUACUUCCAACAUAUGAACGACUGUGGCCCGUUUGAAUAAUUCGAUUAUUCUUAAUAAACUCAAUUAUUCUGGAAGUCAAAACAUGCAAAUGUGAAACACAAGAAUAAUACUAAUCCCAUAUGGCCUCAAACCUUUGAGUAUAAAUAAAACACCUUUUAUUUAUCACCAUAUUGAUUACUCAUUAUUUGUCGUUUCGGGUAAUCAACUUCUUACUUGAAUUCCAACACUUGUCCCAUGCUCCUAGCAUGCACACAAUGUUUACCUAUGGUUCUUACUUUGUGAAAUAGAUCACAUUGAACACAUUUCCAAUCCUUCUCAUUUCACAACUCCAAAUCCGUUUUUCAUAAGUCAAAGAAUAUCAAAUUCUUGCUACUUAUAGAAUAUGCUAGAUUCUAACAUUCUAUGCAACUAUCCUUUCGUAAUGUCACUGCACCAAAGUCACAAAGACUAUUGCCAAUGAUAUUACAAAGUCCUCUAUCGGAGAUUGUUACAAGACAAUUCCAUAGACGUGAUGUCUCUCACUCAAAGUACAUUCUUUGAACAUCCUUUUGCAUAGAAGUUUCUAAUCUAGUCAUAGAUUUCUCAAUAUUCAAUUCCCAAUAUGGACACACUUCCAUAUGUUCCAUAUGACAACUCAUUCUUAAUAGAAUCUUAUCUAUUCGUAAUGAUGUCGAUAUGGUCCAUCCAAUAUGGAAACAUUUCCAUAUUUUCCAAUACUAUACUUCCAACUACUCACAAGCGACCAAUCCUCGUCGAACUUUGGAUUGUCCUUUGAUAGUUGUUUAAUUAUUUUAGUCAAAACCAAUUCUAGUCCCUUUUCCCUCUAAAUGCGCUCGACAUUUGGAAAAUUUUAGAAUGGUCAAACAUUAAAGCAUUUGCAAUCGAUCCUAUACCCGAAGCGUAUGGGACACGACGCAUAAUGUUUUAUUUGCUAUGUUCUCAAAAUUCGAAUUGUGAAGAGGGAUGCCGUAAUCAUAAUCGAAAUUUUAAGAACACACUAUGUACCUUUGACUAAAUUUAUUAACAUUUCUCAACCUAAUCCUUUAGAUUUGAAAUGAAGCAUAAUAUUCUCUCCCUUAAUUAUAGCAAAACAACCUUUCAACUCUUACAACUUUGCAAAGUAUGACUCUUGUUUUCUAUAAUUAAUAUUGCUAACCUUGCAAUACUUUCCUUAAUAAUCAUACAAUCAUAACAUUUAUGCUCCCACUAUCAUGAUGAUUAUUAUAAAACAUAACACUUAUGCUCCCACUAGCUUCGACAUGUAUUCAUAAACAUCUUAACUUUCAGAAAACAAUACUUAUUGAAUUUCUUAAGUUCAUGUUUCUAAUACUUAGUGCUUUGAUAAUCCUUUAUCAAUGCUUCUUGAACUUAUACACCUUUGCCUUCGAUAGUUCAUAUGUGUGUCUAAACAAUUAAGACUAAUUGCCAAACCUCACAAUUCAAAUUAUGGAAAGGGAUGCCGUAACCAUGAUUGAAUUUGAGAAUGCAAUUUUACAAUCACUAUCUUCUUAAAAUCUCUCUUAGUGAAAGCAUUUCUUCACAAUCAUUUUCAUGAAGGAGGAAAUCUUAUGACACUUAGAUUUGAGCGGUGUAUGUGUUCCUAUCCAUGUGAAUUUGUUAAAACUAAAGUUUACGACAAAUUCAAACUCAUAUGGACCGAGCUUUCUUAAUCUUGAUUUCUUGCCUUAUGGUAGCACAGCUGCCCACCAUGUCUUCCAAGUAGUUAAGCAGCUCACCUUUUCUUAUCAAUGUACCUUUCAUUGAUUAAGGUGCUUUGCCUUUUAUGCGUUCAAAAUGAGAACUCAUAGAACUCUCAUGCAUAAUUAACUCGAUUGGAUUGGCACAGAAUCAAAAUAAUGUCAUCACGAUAGGUUUUAAACCUUAACUCGUGUGCUAGUCAUGAUCGAUAAGGUUUAUUUGAUUUGUUCUUGAAACCUUUCAAGACCAUUAAGACUCCCACUGACUCCUUGACAUAUAAGGUUCUCUUGUCAAUAACCAUUUCUUGACAAACAAAUAUUCAAGAGUUAGUGUAGCUUUUAUCAAAACUCUUCAUAAAUUGGUCCUAGUUGGUCUUUGUCUUAUCUAAGACAUCACAACUUACCACAUUUAAUGAAUGUUUUAAACCUUCUUAAUACUUUUCACUCAUUGUCACAAUCUUAACUUUAAGACUUGUUUUGGAACGAAGUAUGAUUGACUUCUUGAUUUUAUCAUUUCUUCAAUCUUUGAUUCCUCUUCUUGGACAUACAAUUGUACCAAGACUCGCUUAGAGGAUCAAUUGAAAUAUGGUUCUUAAUCAUUACGACCUAGCAUAAAAGGUACUCUCCCUUCUUCUUAGAAUGGAGAAACUUUUAUCUCUCUGCCUACUUGAUUCUUGUUAUUCGUUCUACGAUUGAUUUAAACCUUUUCAAUCAACUAACAACUAUACUUAAUCUUAUAAUUAUAAUCAUAUUUACUAAACUUUUAGUAAACCAUGACGAAUAUCUUGUUACUCUUAUGGUGGACUUUGAUCAACACACAACUUUGUGUACUCGAUCUCCUAGUCCUUCACUUGACACUUUGUCAAUGAAUUAGUCUAAUUUCCAAAUACGAAAUUUCUCAUUCAUCGUGCAUCCACGUUGCAUGAUUCCAAGUUUCUGUCCAAUUGAAACUUGGGCGAUGAGAAACUCUCCCUAUUUGGUAAAUUCUCGACUUUCCAUAAAUAACAUAAUAAGAACCAAAUCCAUUAUUGCUAAUAAUAGAACCAUUUUAACAUCAAUUUUUCAUACACGCCAUUGUAAGGAUAAAUAAAUAAAAUUUAAAAUCAAAAUUUAUUUUAUUGCGGAAAAANNNNNNNNNNNNNCUAUGCUAAUACAUCUUUCUUAGCAAUCUAAUUCUAACUCUAAGUAGUAGCUCAAGAAUCUAAUCUUCGAGAAAUGCGAUCGAAAUCCAUUCCUUCACGGUUAGAUUCUGCUCACUUCUUCCCUUAAGCUUUCUUUCUUUUCUUUGAUCCUACAAAACAUCAAUUGUAAUCUUAUUACAUUAUGUAUUAAGAAUCUGGAAUAGAACCUUAAAAGAGUUAGUCAAUGGAUUUUACCUAAAGCAGAGCCAUACGUUUCGAUUCUCCCAUAUCUUAGAUCGCUUAGGUAAAUAGGGCAGCUUCGUCUCCAAUGCCCUUUCUCUUGGCAAUAAAAGCAAAUUGACUCUUUUGGAACAGGACAUGGAACUACUUCAGACAUUGCCUUUCUCUUAUGAUCAAACUUUUCGAUCAUAGCAUGUCUUUCGUUGCCAUUGUCUAUAUCCAUAGAGGUCUUGAAGGCAGAUUCACCAAUCAACUUUGCUUUUCUAUUGCGCCAAACCAUUGCUGAUUCAGCAGCAAUAAGCAUAUAGGUGAGAUCUAUAAGGGUCACGUCGUAGUUCAUCAUAUAGUACUCUCUUACGAACUCACUAUAUGAGUUAGGAAGUGACUGAAGAACCCAAUCAACAGCCAUUUCCUCACAGACAACGGAUCCCAACAUUCUUAACCUAUCAAUGUGUGACUUCAUCCCUAGGACGUGUGCACACACCGACUUUCCUUCUUUAUGUUUACUUGCCAAAAGGGCUUGAGUGAUCUUGAACUUUUCAAGCCUUUGAACUUGUGGGUUAGGGAGAAUAAUUGGAGGAGGUGGAGGAAGUGAAGUAUGAUUUCUUGUUCCUCGAUCGAAUCGUGGAAUAUCAUCUUCAUGUGGAAUGCUUGUUCCACGGGAUUUGAGAAGACCAUAGUUGUCAAACUUUGACAUCUACAAAACGGGAGAAAACGAAUUCAAGUUAGUUGAUUGAUUGAGUCCUUAGUAAAUCACCCAAAUGAGAUACUAAGGCUAGGACCCAACACAAUAUUCUACAACUCGGGAGAGGGAUGCCGUAACCCAAAUUGCAGAACAUUUGAAGGUAAGUGAAUGACGAUUCACUAAUUUCCACCAUGAAAAACGAAAAAGAAAUUUAAGUUUUAAAUCUAUGAAAACUCCUAGAUCCUUUGAGAUUCAUUGAACAUUUCAAUGGCAUGUUUAAAUCUCGAUAUGCCCCUCUUGUUUGUGACUGGGAUGCCGAGGAUCACAAAGCGGGUGUGAAUAACCAUGCAAACUUACAUGGUGCCCUCACAUGUUACAGUCACCUAUUCGAUGUGCCGGUAAACCACACACGCUCCACCGAACUAUGACAAACAUUGAGUCACCCUUUGCUACCUUUGCUUAGAACCAUUUAGUGUGCCGGUAAACCACACACGCUCCACUAACGUCUUCGCAAGGGCACAAAGUGUAAUUUCAUGGAAUUGCAUCAAUUCACUUUUGCCUAAGUAACUAAGAUUGGGAAUUUUAUGAAAACAUUUAGUUACUUUUAUACUUCAUUAUACUUAUAAUGGAAGGUUUCGUCCUAUCCUACCCGUUCGGCUAACGACCCUCCACUAGUCAAGAGUGCGGUGGGUAAGAGUGGAUACCCAUUCAAUCGCCAUUUUAUAGGCAAUUUCCUUAAACACCCCUUAUAGACCAGCUUCGUGAAUGAGGCCUACUAACGGUAAGACUGACUUUUACUCAUACAUAUAUAUAAUGUUAGACUUUUAAUGUUAUAUAUAGUAUAGGGUGUAUUUUACACUUUUAAAAUACUAGGUGGUCAAAUUUAACAAUUAUACUUUUAAUUCAAUUAAAUUGUAAACCUAAACUUUUAUGGAUUUAUUAAACCUCUUUUAAUUAUACACCUUAAUUAAUUAAUAAAACCAUAAGGGUGUGAUUUGAACUUUUUCAAAACUAUACUAGAGUUUUAGAAUUUAACAUUCCUAAUUAAACUUUUAAUCAACUUUUAAAUUCCAAAACUUGAGGGCAAGUUUUGAAACAUUUCAACACAUUAGGGUUUAGAAUUUAAAUAUACAUCAAAAUUAAACCAUUUAAUCAAAAUUUAAAUUCCAAAACUUGAGGGCAAGUUUUGAAACCUUUUUCAAAACAUUAGGGUUUCAACUAUUUAAAUUUCAAAACAACAAAACUUUUGGGUUCAAAUUUAAACUAUAAAACCUAAAGGGAAAAUAUGAAACUUUUCAUAACAACAAGGAUCAAAUAACAAAUAAUCUAAAUUAACAUUUAAUCACAUAAUUAUCCAUAUUUGAUUUAUUUAAUGAUUUCUUGCAAAACAAUUUAUCAAUUUAGUCAAAAUAAUUAAUCAAUUAUCACAUAAGGAAACAAUUAUCUUAUUAAUUGAUAAAUAUCUUCAAUUAGAUCAAAAAUAUAGUCAAAUAUAUCAUAAAAUCGGAUUAAUAUUGAUCUAACAUGAUAAGGUAACUAUCCAUAAGCAAAAACAGCAAGAAAUCCCGAAGUACCCUCCAUCUGACGAGUUGACUCGUCGAGUCAGGCUUGGACUCGUCGAGUCUGCAUGGACUCGGCGAGUUCAGCUAUGGACUCGGCGAGUCCAGCCUCCAGAACAUCAAAAAUCGAAUUUUUUGAACAUGUAAUGCAUCAAUACAAUUGAAACCAGUCUAGGCUCUGAUACCACUGAUGGGUUUUGGUCAUAAGACAUCCUAUGUGCUCAUACAAACCCUAAUGCUUGGAUCUAGGUUUCUCUAUUUUACAUACUUUGAAUCCAAGACUAUAAACCCUAAUUCUAGCAUAUGGAAAUCAAUAUUAACAAAGAAAUCGGUUUAAGAACAUACCUUGGUUGUUAUAUAGCAAUAACAAUCCUAAUCCUCCUUGAAUUGACUUUGGAAGGCUUAGAGUCACAAGUGUCACUCCUCUAAUGGCUUACAAACACCAUAAGCAAGUGGAGAAGGUAUAAAGAGAGAGGAGAGAGGUAGGAAUUCGUCCUUAGAUGCUCU